GGUUAAGGGUGUGAACCAUCACCAUCCUGUUUUUUUUUUUUAAAUCCAGCUUUAACUAUUGGAAAAAACAACAGUAAAAGUAGAAAAAAAUAGUAAAUGAUGGUUUCAUUUUUUCUUUUUGGCAGUACUGGUGAAGAAAUUGUCCCUGGUUUUGCCUUGUCACUUGUCACUUCCACUUCUCCAGUUAUGGGCUGUAACUGAGACAGGGGAUCCUGGUCUCAGGUUGUCAGCAGCCUGGGCCAGAUAGAAGGCAGACAUCUGAAAGCUGCGAUGUGGCAGGGGAGGCGGGUUGGUCAUUGCCACCUCCCGCAGCCAUUCUGAGCCUUUGCUGCCAUCUCUCUACAGGGUGACCUUAGACACUAACCUAUGUAGCCCAUUUUUUCCAUAACUUUAAUGGUUUUUUUGUUGUUUUGUUUUUGAGAUAGGGUCUCACUGUGUAAACCAGGCUGUCCUGAACUCUUUACAUAGACCAGACUGGCCUCGAACUCACAGAGAUCUUCUUCCUUGUGCCCACCGAGUGUUGAGGCCCAGGGUACACACCCCGUAUUUUUUCCCCCAAAUGCACAACUGAUUGUCUUCUGGAGAUAGCUAAAAUAAAAUCUGGUUUGUCAUAUAAUGGAGUAGUACACACCAGUGAACAAGAGACAGUGGAAGUACUGUUAUGGAAAGAACUUUAAGAUCGAUUGAGUGAAAGAAAUCAAGAUACACAUCAAUGUGUAACUGUUCUUAUUGCUUGAGAAAUGAAAGUGUCUUUCUAUUUGUAUAUGUUUUUAUGAAUAAAAGCCAGAUGAAGUCUCAGAAACUAACAGAAGUUGUCCUUGGGAUAAGAGUCAAGCGAGAAGAUGGGAGAACUUGGGAGCCGGAGAGAUGGCUCAGCAGUUAAAAACGCUUGCUGCUCUUCCAGGGUUCGGAAGUUCCAGGGACCAGAAUUUUCCCAGCACCUAAGUCAGGCUGCUCACAGCCACCUGUAACUGCCCCUUGGGGGAUCUGAAAUCUCAGGUCUCUGAGGGCAUCUGCGCUUGUGUGCACAUACACAUAGUUAAAAAUAAUUCAAAUCUUCAAAAGAUGAUGAAAAGAAAAAGAGGCUUUAAAACCAGCCAGUUGGGACAGGUAUGAUAUCACACACCUAUAGUCCCAGCUACCUGGGAAGCCGAGGCCAGAGGCUUGCCGAGCCCAGGUGCUUCGGUUCGUAUCUGUGUGGGCGUGUCUGCAUGUGACCCAGCUGUGACCAUGUUAAGAGCUCAAGUGUUGACACCUUGGUCCCAGCUGAGGCCUGUGGGGAUGGUUAGGAACCUUCAGCAGUGUGGCCUAAUAAAAGUUACAUCACUGGGUAACGCCCUUGAAAGAUAAGGACCCUGGGCCCUCUCCUCCCUCUCUGCUCCCAGCAGCCUCGAGGUAAACUCUCCUGCGCACACCUGUGUAACACGGUCCCACUGCAGGCCAGCAGCGACUGAAACGAGAUACGGACAGAAAUGGGAAAUAGCCCAGAAAGGAAGGAAAGCAAACUAUGAAGAUUUAUAGCAGAGCAUGGCAGAAGAAUGGAAAAAUCCACCUGAAACUGUCAGUUUAGAGAACCGCACUGUCUGUUCCUGUAGAAGCUCCAGAGAGACUGGCAGCAAGGACUACAUGCUGAGCCCAAACCAGAGAGGGGAAAGCUGCGCGUGGCCGGCCGCUCACAGCAAUCUCUUGUCCACCUUCCACUGCCACUGGACCAAAGCCCCUCCAAAGCCGACAUUUGACGUGUGCUCUCACCUGUUUGCAGUCCACGUUUGGUUGAAGAUAGAUGUGUCACUGAAGGCAUUGCAGAGGAUGAGGGAGUGUACUCUUGGAGACUUGUGAGUGUAUUCAGCAAAUUUCUGAGCCAAAAAACCUCCCAAAGACGCCCCAAACAGAUGGACCUAAUUAUAAACAAACAUAAGGCAGAUCCUAAAACACCGAGGUUGCUUCAGUUUUGUGAAUCACAGAAUAUGCCAUCACUACCUAGCAGGCUGAAAUAGUCGUUAGAAAUUUAACAGGCAUUUUAUUUGAAUUUAUGUACCCCAUUAAGAAAACAAUACACUGGAGCGUAAAAACAUGGCCCAGCCAGUGUUUGAAUCCCAACAGUCAUGUGACAAGUCGGUAUUCUGCAAAUACCUGUAGCGCCAGACCCUGCCUCAGAGGAACAGGUGGAGAGCGACAGUGGCCACUCAACACCCUAUCCUCUGCUGACCUCUGCGCGCGCAUCUAUGCACAUGAAUACAAGUAAGUCUUAAGCAAGCAAAGACUUCUAAACAACAACAAACUGGACAUGGUUGUGGGGAGCGGGGGCGAGUGGAUGUGUGUCACCGACACCAGCACAGACAUGUCAAUGGGAAUGGCAACGACUUCCCUUGGACCAAAUGUAAAUGCUGAUGAACAGCUGGCCUUCACCUAAAACCAGUGUGUGCAGACACCACCAACCACAGCUUUCUCCUGGAGGACUGCAACCUGAAGCUGCCCCCUCUCCCUCCUACUGAGAUUAGCAAAACCUGCCUCCUUGUUCAGUCGUACACAAUAAAUUCGCUGAGUUUUUGCUGGUGCAUCUCCAUCAGAGCACAUGGCCUACCCGA
Molecule: long non-coding RNA, 2588 nt
Organism: Mesocricetus auratus (golden hamster)
Lineage: Eukaryota; Metazoa; Chordata; Mammalia; Rodentia; Cricetidae
Exons: 2
Source: RefSeq, a predicted model, not a curated record